This 279-nucleotide long non-coding RNA is filed under the name Elaeis guineensis (African oil palm). RNAcentral describes it as "long non-coding RNA (EGUI_LNC007924)". Lineage: Eukaryota; Viridiplantae; Streptophyta; Magnoliopsida; Arecales; Arecaceae. The record is from RNAcentral.
GGCCGGCAUAGAGAUUGCAAGCUUCGACAGUAGGUCGGCAUAAGAAUUCUCUGAUCUUAGGAUAUGUUGAAUGUCAAAAUCUUCAAAUAUUGAGGUUAAGUCCCUUACCUUUUAUAAAUAUUUCAUUAUGUUUGUUGGACCUUAGCCCUUAACCAACUUCUCAAAGAUAAUUGCCUAAGGGUAGAUGGAGUUUAUUAAUCUUUAUUAACUGCACAGAACCUGCAUCCCUGAGUUGACCUGUAUCAAGCCAGAUCAUCCUCAUGUGACAAGCUGGGUGGU